AAUGAACGUUGGCGGCGUGGAUUAGGCAUGCAAGUCGUGCGAGAAGUGUUUUUUGCUUGCAUUGAACACGGACAGCGGCGAAAGGGAGAGUAACGCGUGGUUACGUGCCCAGAGGACCAGGAUAGCGUCGGGAAACUGGCGGUAAUACUGGAUAAUAUCUUUGGAUCAAAGGUGUGAUUCCGCCUCUGGAUCGGACCGCGUACUAUUAGCUUGUUGGCGGGGUAAUGGCCCACCAAGGCUGCGAUGGUUACCGGGUGUGAGAGCAUGGCCCGGCUCACUGGGACUGAGACACUGCCCAGACACCUACGGGUGGCUGCAGUCGAGAAUCUUCGGCAAUGGACGAAAGUCUGACCGAGCGACGCCGCGUGCGGGAUGAAGGCCCUCGGGUUGUAAACCGCUGUCAGUUGGGAGGAAAGGUCUGUGAAGAGCAGACCCUGACCGAUCUUCAGAGGAAGGACGGGCUAAGUUCGUGCCAGCCGCCGCCGUAACAC
RNAcentral lists this ribosomal RNA (491 nucleotides) under uncultured bacterium. RNAcentral's name for it is "bacterial SSU rRNA". It matches the Rfam family "Bacterial small subunit ribosomal RNA", at positions 29 to 526 of the family's 1533-position model. The record is from RNAcentral.